AGAGUUUGAUCCUGGCUCAGAUUGAACGCUGGCGGCAGGCCUAACACAUGCAAGUCGAGCGGAUGACGGGAGCUUGCUCCUUGAUUCAGCGGCGGACGGGUGAGUAAUGCCUAGGAAUCUGCCUGGUAGUGGGGGACAACGUUUCGAAAGGAACGCUAAUACCGCAUACGUCCUACGGGAGAAAGCAGGGGACCUUCGGGCCUUGCGCUAUCAGAUGAGCCUAGGUCGGAUUAGCUAGUUGGUGGGGUAAUGGCUCACCAAGGCGACGAUCCGUAACUGGUCUGAGAGGAUGAUCAGUCACACUGGAACUGAGACACGGUCCAGACUCCUACGGGAGGCAGCAGUGGGGAAUAUUGGACAAUGGGCGAAAGCCUGAUCCAGCCAUGCCGCGUGUGUGAAGAAGUCUUCGGAUAGUAAAGCACUUAAGUUGGGAGGAAGGGCAGUAAGCUAAUACCUUGCUGCUUUGACGUUACCGACAGAAUAAGCACCGGCUAACUCUGUGCCAGCAGCCGCGGUAAUACAGAGGGUGCAAGCGUUAAUCGGAAUUACUGGGCGUAAAGCGCGCGUAGGUGGUUUGUUAAGUUGGAUGUGAAA
RNAcentral lists this ribosomal RNA (594 nucleotides) under uncultured Gammaproteobacteria bacterium. RNAcentral describes it as "bacterial SSU rRNA". It matches the Rfam family "Bacterial small subunit ribosomal RNA", at positions 8 to 599 of the family's 1533-position model. The record is from RNAcentral. Lineage: Bacteria; Pseudomonadati; Pseudomonadota; Gammaproteobacteria.